UUAUUUUGCUUUCUACAUAAUUUCUUAUCAAAAUAGAUUUCGCUAAUCAGUCAUUAGAAACAAUUAGUGGCUAAAUAUUGAAUUUGGCAUUGUCCUUACGAAUUGUCUAAUUGGUUAUGAGAAAUUGUUUGUAAGCAUAAGGUUGCAGAUUGGAAGAGAGAAAGGGAUGAUAAUGUACUGUGUUAGAGUGACAACUAUGGCCAUGGCUGUUCCUUCAUGGAGGCCCACGUGCUGCGCAUCUUCAUCAUCUUCUUCUUCUGCUUCUACAGCUGUCAUCAACACAGAGCAACUGCGUUCUCAAAUUGAUCAUCUUCAUGCUGAGGCUGACACCACCAGAGCCAAGGCAACUAAUGCUAGAUUGAGGCUUCUGCGGUUGUCAGAAGCUGCAGAGAAGCUUCAAAAACAGGCAGUUAUAAGCAUUCAAAAGGGGGAGGAAAAUUAUGCAAGGGAAAUGCUUUUUAAGAGGAAGAAGGUGUUGCAGGCUUUGGACAAGUCUAAAAGACGCAUUGAAUUGCUUGAUGAGCUUUCCGCAAAGUUAAGUGAGUUUCAGGCAAUAUCUUUGAAAGAAAGUCAGCUAAUUGGAAAUGUUAAUGUGAACAUUGAAGACAUAACAAAAGAUGCUUCAAGUCCAGUUCGAAUUGUUGCUCCAAAGGAGGAAGUUCAAAAUGAUUUCAGUACGACAAGACAUAACUUAGAUCCUGAAACGAUGGACUUCGACAAUAUUCAAGAUGUGCAACUGUCUAUCGAAAGUGAAGGAAAUUCACUGGAUGUUAAGGAGAUUCAGAAUCUUCAGGAAUCCGUUAGUGUAGGAAUUUCAAAUGAAGACAGUAUAGCCAGAAACUUGUCAGAAAUAUCCUCGUAUGAGGAUUUCAUGGAACGGAUAGACAAAAAGCUCAGUGAAAUUGAAGCUGAACUAGUUACUGUUUUGAACGUCUCAACCUUGCUACUUGUUAAUGAAGAGAGACCAAAUAAUUCCAGGUUGCAACAAACAAUCGAACUCCUUGAGACCAUCCAUGGAAUUAGGAAGAGAAUUAGAAGAACCAAGGAGGCAGAACUGAGGAUCUGAAAAAUUUUGUUUUGCUUAACACAUCUUCUACAUCCAGGUCAGAACUAACUUCAUUGGAAGAAAAAGGUUUGCAAAAUUUUUCUUGUAUCAGUUAAUGUGGAAACAGGAAAGGUACAUCCGAGAUGCUUGUUAUUAGUUUAUUAAAAUGAAGAGGUGUUGUUAUCUUCAUUUAGCAUUAUUCUUUCCAAAUUGCGAUCAUAUGAUUGAUCAUGGAGGAACAGCAGAUUGAGAAAUUUUCCAAAGGAGUAAGGAACUAAGAAUAGCGUAGUGUAGUUUCUUGUCCAUUGUUUCAAACUUUUCUAACCUUAAUCUGUCUCAUAAAUGAACGUAAUAAUGAAGUAUUUUUGGAGGAUUCCAUGAAAUGUUGUGUAAGGUAAUGCAGCAUCACUUACCUUGCAGGAGUUGGCAACCUAGUGAUGUCAUAUAUGAGUCUAAUGAGACAGUUACAUAUAAGUACGUACAUACACACACAUACACAUGUAUAUAUAUGUUUUGGUAAAUUAUUCUUUUAAUCACUUGUCAACUGCUAUGAAUAGAUGACAAAUUAACUCAUUUAUUAAUCACUAACUGACCGAACCAUUUGUUUUGGUAUUACUGCUAUUGUUUUAGCUGCUGAUUUUCGAAGACUAUUAUCGUGAUGAAUCCUACAAUCCUAAAUUUGCAUACCCGAAUUGUUAAAAAAGGCGUUGUUGUCACCACGAGUUUUAAACUAAUUGCUUUAUAGAAUUGUAACCAAAACCUUUCAAUUGCAGAAAAUGUACAGAACAAAAAACGUAUUCAUAACUAGACUGCACAAAUUUCUGUGAACUAAUGUACUAAUUAUGCUAGCACCUUCAGCAGUUUUCUUGCAUCUGAAAUGUCCCUUUCAUGAUAUUUAAAACAUAUUAGUUUGAAGUAUGGCAUGCUUAACUAUUAUCACUAAUUAACUUGCACACAAACCUACCAAAUCCAAGAUGUUUAAUGGUAGUCAUUCAGAUGUACAGUCCCUUUUUCUCCCAUCUCCGAGUACCUUUUGAUGCAAGAAAAUUGUCAAAUAUUAUUCAGAACGGAGUACCACAAAAUUCCAAAUUGUGUAUUCUUUUACAUUGAGGUAUGACAUCACAUCAGGAAACCAAUAGAACUAGGAUUACAAAGUAAGAGUAAUAAUGGGGCACCCGCGAUAUUAUGCUUUUCAAUUUUCACAAGUGUUGGUGCAAGUAAAGGAAAUGCUUCUAUUCACUGAGUAUCCGUAUUUCAUGCGUAUGGACAACUGAUUUCAAAUGGUUUCAGUACCAGAAACAGUCGCUCCAUUCACAGGAUGAGAUUGCAAACAUGGUACACUCUACAGUAGUGGAAGUCUCGUAUACUGUUCUGGCCUUUUAGAAGAGAUGUUUGAAUUACACAGUUCCCAUGAGGUCAGCAAGAGUAAUCUUGACAUGCAUGCCAAGUCGUUUUGAUGGGUUUAAGACUUCAUUUUCUAUAUUGCAACAUAUAUAGUCCGAAGCCAUUGUCAACCAACCAUAUUGGAAUUAUGUCACUAUUAAUCAUGAAGACCAAACAGUUGGAAUUUGAAUUGAGUUCAUUUUCCAUUUUCAGCUACAUAUAGUUCAUAAGGUUAUUAUUCUGCUGUUGUGGUUACUUACGACUGAUGAGGGUGAAAUCAUAUGACGAUGAGAGAGAUGAGAAAGGAAUUUUAACUAAGAUGAUGCAAAUUUACAGUGAGUGUUGUGACAACAGUGAAAGAGGUUUGAACUGCAUGAUAUUUUCUUGAUUUAAAAUAAAAUAGUUCUUCUUGGAAACGGUGGUAAACUAUAUAUGCACAUGUCCCGAUACGAGAUUACGAGGAUCUUUGAUUUCUGUACCGGUCAUGCUCUUUAUAACUGUUGUAAAGGAAAAACAACUAGAAAAUGUUCAAGUAAACUGAUCUACUCAUGAU
This is an RNA transcript of Vigna umbellata (rice bean), 2981 nucleotides long. RefSeq lists it as uncharacterized. The record is from RefSeq and is a predicted model, not a curated record. NCBI's taxonomy places the organism in Eukaryota, Viridiplantae, Streptophyta, Magnoliopsida, Fabales, Fabaceae.